UGUGCCUAAUACAUGCAAGUCGAACGCGUUGGCCCAAUUGAUUGAUGGUGCUUGCACCUGAUUGAUUUUGGUCGCCAACGAGUGGCGGACGGGUGAGUAACACGUAGGUAACCUGCCCAGAAGCGGGGGACAACAUUUGGAAACAGAUGCUAAUACCGCAUAACAACGUUGUUCGCAUGAACAACGCUUAAAAGAUGGCUUCUCGCUAUCACUUCUGGAUGGACCUGCGGUGCAUUAGCUUGUUGGUGGGGUAAUGGCCUACCAAGGCGAUGAUGCAUAGCCGAGUUGAGAGACUGAUCGGCCACAAUGGGACUGAGACACGGCCCAUACUCCUACGGGAGGCAGCAGUAGGGAAUCUUCCACAAUGGGCGCAAGCCUGAUGGAGCAACACCGCGUGAGUGAAGAAGGGUUUCGGCUCGUAAAGCUCUGUUGUUAAAGAAGAACACGUAUGAGAGUAACUGUUCAUACGUUGACGGUAUUUAACCAGAAAGUCACGGCUAACUACGUGCCAGCAGCCGCGGUAAUACGUAGGUGGCAAGCGUUAUCCGGAUUUAUUGGGCGUAAAGAGAGUGCAGGCGGUUUUCUAAGUCUGAUGUGAAAGCCUUCGGCUUAACCGGAGAAGUGCAUCGGAGACUGGAUAACUUGAGUGCAGAAGAGGGUAGUGGAACUCCAUGUGUAGCGGUGGAAUGCGUAGAUAUAUGGAAGAACACCAGUGGCGAAGGCGGCUACCUGGUCUGCAACUGACGCUGAGACUCGAAAGCAUGGGUAGCGAACAGGAUUAGAUACCCUGGUAGUCCAUGCCGUAAACGAUGAGUGCUAGGUGUUGGAGGGUUUCCGCCCUUCAUUGCCGGAGCUAACGCAUUAAGCACUCCGCCUGAGGAGUACGACCGCACGGUUGAAUCUCAUAGGAAUUGAAAGGGGGCGCGCACAGCCGCUGCAGCAGGUGAUUUGGUUCUAAGCGACACGAAGACCCUACCAGUUCUUGG
RNAcentral lists this ribosomal RNA (986 nucleotides) under Limosilactobacillus fermentum. RNAcentral's name for it is "bacterial SSU rRNA". It matches the Rfam family "Bacterial small subunit ribosomal RNA", at positions 43 to 984 of the family's 1533-position model. Lineage: Bacteria; Bacillati; Bacillota; Bacilli; Lactobacillales; Lactobacillaceae. The record is from RNAcentral.